This 318-nucleotide long non-coding RNA is filed under the name Phoenix dactylifera (date palm). RNAcentral describes it as "long non-coding RNA (PDAC_LNC017216)". Lineage: Eukaryota; Viridiplantae; Streptophyta; Magnoliopsida; Arecales; Arecaceae. The record is from RNAcentral.
UCCUUCUCGAUAUUUAAACCCCUUUCCCAUAUCUCAAUCUUGAUCUCUCUCCUUUGCAAUAAUCUUCGCAUUCUUUGUCCCCUUCCUGGUUCCAAUGGUUUCUUCCUGGGACACAUUUUUAGCAUGAGGUAAAUGAUGAAGCACCCAUCAAGCAACAUGAUCAAUGCCAUAUCUUGGGCAUUCAGUUUGGAGAAUUCCUGAGAGUAGCAGCUCCGGACCUCCUCAUCCAGAUACUUCAACAUCGACAAGCAGGAGUCGAACAAUUCACUUGCAUCCUUUUGACUUUGAUGACGCGAGUCACGCGAUAGAAGGUGCCGG